This is a non-coding RNA of Macaca mulatta (Rhesus monkey), 3435 nucleotides long. NCBI's taxonomy places the organism in Eukaryota, Metazoa, Chordata, Mammalia, Primates, Cercopithecidae. The record is from RefSeq and is a predicted model, not a curated record.
UACCCUGCUAAAUACUAGGUCUGGGUUAGAAAGGGAGCAAAAGAGCUGCUUUUCAGGUUAAAAGAGAUCAUAUGAAACGGUGAGUGGCAAGAUCUUAGUCAGAGUAAAUUGUCAUGGGUGAGACUGUAAUUAAUGUCGUGCUUUUAUUCUUUCAAUGGCUAACAGCCCCCAGUUUUCUUGUAUCAAGGAAAGCAGUCAUCGUUGGAAGAGUCGUUUCCAGCUAAAAACUUACCUCCAGUACCCCACAGGCCCAGGCCAGCCACAGAAGGACCGGUUCAUUGUGGUUCUUCUCUGCACUUCCCAGCUGGACUCUGGCCAGGGCCCACCUAGAGCCAGCGGAUGGUUAUUCAGGAAACAGCUCCAAGAAGGAGACCCUCGGGAACAACAUUUUGUCCUUUAUUCCCCCUUCCAGACAAAGGGAAAGGAAAAGGAAAUUCAUGGAGCCCGUCUCUACAGCAGAUGAUCCAUUUGUGGUACUGCAUUUCAUUCUCGCAACAGUUCCAGGAGCUCCAGGCUCCCGUUCCCAUCAGACGGACAGGAAGCUGCAGGCCUGAGGAUGAAGAUAUCUUAUCUAAGGUCACACAGUCAACUAGCUGAAAAAGGGAGAUUCCACCUUCAAAGCGGAAUUACAGCCUCCACGUGGGUCCACCGAGUUGGACCUCAGGCCUUCUGUGGGUAGGAACCUCUGGCUCAGAGUGAGCAACAAAUCCCACACUGGGACAUUGACCCCUGCAGAGGGAACAGCUCACAUUGUGGCUCCCACAAUAAUGACCCAGGGCUCUUCGAUGGUGCGCCAGGAGUGUUUAACAACCGGCUCUCUGGAGUGAGGGCAUGUGUUCUGCUUUCUGUGAUGCAAAUAUUUCUCCCUGGCCAAUUUUGAGCUAUCAGCAAGAGAGCAUUGGCCCUCCUGAGCUGCACAAGCCAGCUCCAACACACCAGCUCCAACACACGCCAGCCAGCACUCUUAGUACAUCCCUGGCCAGCCCCAGACCCGUCAAACCUGAAUUCCUAGGGGCGGGGCCCAAAUCUUGGUAUUUUUCUUAAAGAGGAGAGCCAAGGGUUGAGAACCGCUGGGCUCAAAGCUUCAUGUUCAGGGGCCUGUUGGCCUUUUGGGUUUUGUCCUGGUGAGAAAAUACUAGGCUCCGGAAUUAAGUGCUGGCCAUCAGAUCUGCGUUGGAAAGAUGCUUCUGUUCUUUCCUGAGUAUGGCCAGCCACCAAAUCUCAAGCCCCGGCCACCGCAGCCACACGCCAGCCAUUUAUUCCAGGUGUUCUACACACGGUCAGUCACCUCUGCCCCAGACCUAGGGCCCCAGCGAUUCUAGCACAGGGUCACAAACCCAAACAUCCACAGGGAAGGCAGUAAAGGGAUGCUCCCAAGCCAGUUUCCACAGGACAACUGCAGUGUGAUGGGAACUCUGGAGGCCGUGCAGAAUGCCCCUCGGAGUCACCCCAGCCGCGAGGCAAGACAUUAGGUUCUCAUCCAACACCUUGUCUGCCGUUGGUGAGAGAUGCCUCUGGGAUAUUAACUUUAUGGCACUUUUGGCUGACCCCGAGCUCAGGACAAGCACCUUCCGAGAUGAGAAAAAGUUCUCACAUAUCUUAAAGAACGAAAAAUAGAACUACCAUUCAACCCAGCAAUCCCCUACAGGUAUUGGAAACCAAAGGAAAAGAGAUCAUUAUAUUAAAAAGACACCUGCACUCAGAUGUUAUCGCAGCACUAUUCCCAAUAGCAAAGUCACGUGUCCACCAGUGGCAGAUUAGAUGAAGCAAAUGUGGUCCAUAUACACCGUGGGAUACGAUGCAGCCAUAAAAAAGAAUGACAUCGUGUCCUUUUCAGCAACACGGAUGGAACCGGAAGCCAUUAUCCUAAGGGAAAUAACUCAGAAGCAGAAGAUCAACCACUGCCUGUUCUCACUGAGAAGUGGGGGUUGACCAGUGGGUGCACUUGGACAGAAAGGUGGAAAUAAUAGACACUGGGGACCCCCGAAGAGGGGAGGGUGGGGAGGGGAAAGGAUUGGAAAACUACUACUGGGUACCAUCUUCACUAUUCGAGUGGUGGGUACACUAGAAGCCCAAUUCCCACCAGGACAAAAUACACCCAUGAAACAAGCACAGGUGCACCCUGAAUCUAAAACAUUUUUAGAAAGCAAAGGCUCUCAGGGGUGUUUGCAGUAAGCAGCCUCUGGGGCACAUGUGAAUGUCGAGAAGGUGUGGGCAGGGCGCAGGCAGCACCUGCUACGCGCAGGAACCGAAACACGAGUGCCAGGAUGCUCGGUAAGCAGCUCACUGCGGGGCACACUGAGCAAGAAGACUGCACAGCGAGUCACAGGCAGGCGCGACGGGGAACUGGGAGCCAGCACACAGCUGAAGAGAGAAGAGCGGGGGGCGGGGGCAUGACACAAGGACGGACACCAGGCGAUGUGGCGACGGACGCCAGGAGCUCCACAGCUGAUUUCUGCCCUUGCCCUUCUCUAGCCUCCUAGGUGGGCUUCUAAGUGGGCGCAGGACUCAGCAUCUGAGAGAAGAGUCCUACAAAAUGCAAGAUGGAGGCAACACUGUCAAAGGUGUCUUCAGGGUCUCUCCUGAUGCUUUUCUCCCUUUGGAAACUCCGGCCCCUGUGUGCAGUCGGCUCCAGCUGAGGCAGGGGCCAGGAUGAUCCAAGGGAACCACAAAUCGUGUAGGAAGCAACAGGCAACCUCGCAGAAGGUAAGUGCCUGUGUUAGUCCAGGUCUGAGGAUCAUAUGCCAAGACGGGAUGAAACAUGCAAGGGUUGUAUCAGGGGAAAUGCCCGGAUGGAAACUAGGUGGGGAACUGGAGGAAGCUGGAGGAGUCAGCAAUGCAGGGCUGACCCAGAGAGAAGGAGAGCAGGAAGGAGGGUGGGGUGGAAUCGUCCUAGACUGUCAUGCAUCGGAGGGAGGGGUUACAAGGCCCUGGGGACUCCUGGAGCCAAAGGCAGCUCUCAGAGCAGCCCGUAUCUGCCAGGUGGUAACUGGGGGCAGCCUGCAGGAAGCGUGACCUUGGCACACACACUGCCAUCCGUUGAUCCAUUUCAGAGCCCAGCAGAGGACAUCGUUUGUCAGUUACACUCACCCCUUUCCCCACUAGAGAAUGCUCAGAAAUACUGGAAGGGCACUGGAUUUCCCACAAGUUGUGGAGGGAGUGGCAAAUUCAAAUUCUCCUGAGGCAAGGCAGUUGAUACCAGUAUAUAAGGCCAGCCUGGUGGGGACCGAGGUGAGAGGGAAGCAACGGCCUCGUCUGAAAGGGGCGUCGUUGGCCAGUGACACACAGGAGUGUGGACUGCAAUCACUAGGUCUCCUGGACAUCUAGGACAUUCCAAAGUUUCAGGUAUUUAUGUGAAAUUCCUGAUGUUUAAACAUUGGCUCAGAUUUUUCAAAAAGCCCUGCAUGGGCCAAAUAAAACACAUCCGUGACUGAA